CCAUUUUAUUCGAAUUUUCAUUUCUACUGACGUCUCAUUUUUUUUCAUCUAUUUUUUCUUCAUUAAGCACAUGAGAGAGUUAAAUUGAAUUGAAGCAAUUGGAGUGGAUUGAUAACCACAAUUGUGAUACAAUCAAAAUCCAGAUUCUCUUCCCUUCCCAAUAUAUGUUGAAUCACAAUUAAUUUAUGUAUUUUGUUUUAAUAAAAU
RNAcentral lists this long non-coding RNA (207 nucleotides) under Panax ginseng (ginseng). RNAcentral describes it as "long non-coding RNA (PGIN_LNC008527)". The record is from RNAcentral. Lineage: Eukaryota; Viridiplantae; Streptophyta; Magnoliopsida; Apiales; Araliaceae.